CUAUAACCAGAUGAAAAUCGAUAGUAUAACAACGAUCGUAUAAACUUUACCUUUAUACUAUCGCUAUUUUUAGACCAUGGUUUUCCGUUCUCUAUCUUAAGAACACUAUAUGUUUCAAUGUGACGUCAUAGCAAAUGGUGACGUUGAAGUAAACAAACAUCGGACUCAACUUGGAAAACCAACUCACCAACGAGGGACUUUACUACGUGGAACAAAUGCAUAACGUCCAGGUUGGGCCCAAUGCUGCUUGCCAAGGUUCUAAACAUGCUUUCUGGGCGAUGCUGAUCUUCUGAAGUGUUUUUUUUUACCAAUGCCCUGUGGUCCUUUAGGGGGUUCCAUCAAGCAAUUGUGGAUUCGGAAAACCCAUUGUGACCAAGAUGAAGCCGUCCACCAUGAAAAAGAGUGUCCACAUACUCAAAGCACUGAAUCACCUUUUUACAGUUUAUUGUAAAAUAUAUGUAUUUUUGAAAGUUAUUAUCAGAGUUUCUUGUAUUUUACUGAUGAAAAGUUAAGGGUCGCGAAAUUGAAUGGCAAGGCAGAAUUAAAAUACAAAUACAAAUGACAGCAAACAAUAACUAUAAGUAUAAAUAUAUCAAUCAAUGGCGAUAUAAUUGUAUAAGUAAAUUUGAAUUGAAAUGACCAAUACAUAUUACGAUUUCAGCGAUCUGAGCUUCAGAACGUUUGGUUUGUUUACCCGUUUACCCGAUAACUUCCCGAACGAACGACAACUCUUGUUCGCCCUUAGUUAUGA
This is a long non-coding RNA of Dreissena polymorpha, 751 nucleotides long. RefSeq lists it as uncharacterized. The record is from RefSeq and is a predicted model, not a curated record. Lineage: Eukaryota; Metazoa; Mollusca; Bivalvia; Myida; Dreissenidae. The transcript is spliced from 4 exons.